AGCAGCCGCGGUAAUUCCAGCUCCAAUAGCGUAUAUUAAAGUUGCUGCAGUUAAAAAGCUCGUAGUUGAAUUUCGGGACUAAUAUGUUGGUCGUGCCUCGGUACGUACUGAUAUUUUUGGUUUCUCCCUUCUGACGAACCUGAUGUCAUUAAUUUGGUGUCUUGGGAAAUCAGGACUGUUACUUUGAAAAAAUUAGAGUGUUUAAAGCGGCAUUAGCUUGAAUACAUUAGCAUGGAAUAAUGAAAUAGGACGUUUGAUCCUAUUUUGUUGGUUUCUAGGAUCGACGUAAUGAUUAAUAGGGAUAGUUGGGGGCAUUAGUAUUCAGUUGUCAGAGGUGAAAUUCUUGGAUUUAUUGAAGACUAACUACUGCGAAAGCAUUUGCCAAGGAUGUUUUCAUUAAUCAAGAACGAAAGUUAGGGGAUCGAAGACGAUCAGAUACCGUCGUAGUCUUAACCAUAAACUAUGCCGACUAGGGAUCGGAUGAUGUUAAUUUUUUAAUGACUCAUUCGGCGCCUUACGG
Molecule: ribosomal RNA, 520 nt
Filed under: uncultured Glomus
Lineage: Eukaryota; Fungi; Glomeromycota; Glomeromycetes; Glomerales; Glomeraceae
Description: SSU rRNA
Rfam family: Eukaryotic small subunit ribosomal RNA
Source: RNAcentral